This is a non-coding RNA of Rattus norvegicus (Norway rat), 2513 nucleotides long. Lineage: Eukaryota; Metazoa; Chordata; Mammalia; Rodentia; Muridae. The record is from RefSeq and is a predicted model, not a curated record.
CUGGGGACAGAACCCAGGGCUUUGCGCUUCCUAGGAAAGCGCUCUACCACUGAGCUAAAUCCCCAGCCCCGAGUGGAUGCUUUUUGAGAUAGAAACCUCAUGUAUCCUAGGCUGACCUUGAACUCACAGAUGGAUGCCUUUGAACCCCAAUCUGCCUGCCUCCACCCCUUGAGUGCUCAGGUUACAGGCAUACGUUACCUCAUUACAUGGUGCUGGCGAUCAAACCCAGGGCUUGAGCAUGCUGGGUAAAUAACUCUACCAACUGGUGUGUGUGUGUGUGUGUGUGUGUGUGUGUGUGUGUGUGUGUGUGUGUGUGAUGUAGGAUGGGGUAGAAGGGAGAGUGCUCACUUUAAUUCAGAACACACUGGGUGGCUGUUGUGGGGUGCUCUCCUCCCGGCAUGAAAGCCACCAUCUACACCAGGGCAGCAGUGAUCACUUGUAAGCAGCCCUUGGAUUUAGGCCUGCUGUCUGUCAACAGCCCCUCAUAGAAAGAGGGACAUCUUUGAUCCCUACCUGAGAUUACAGUUACUCCUCCCCAAACCUCCCAGACAAACCACAAGUAAUGGUGCCUUAAUUGCAUAUGGCCUUGUGGCCUCAGAGGCAUAGCAAAGUGUGGAAGGCUAAUGAAGAGGGCACUUAGCUAUACAGCCUCAGGGAAGUUGUUGUGCAGGCUGGGGUGAGGUUUGGGGUUUGUUUUGUUUUGAUUUUGUUUUUUGGGUUGUUUUGUUUGUUUGGUGCAGCUGCUCUGGGCUCACCCAGGCUCCUGUAAGUAACCUCUCACUCAUGCUCAGGAAGUACACCGAAUAUAUCCACUGGUUCUCCUGGCUGAACCUUGGCGGGAAUCAGCUUUGUUCUGUGGUUGGUGACCUAUUUUGGAGCAGGUGCUUAUGUCUGCUGCCCCUCCCCCACCCAGAAAAGCUCACAGUUUUUGAGCUCUGCAAAAACAAAGCUUGGCAAUUGCCUCAUGCUAAGCCGACUCUUCUCUAAACCAUCGGCAUCCUCACUCGAGGUAGCUAAAUUUCUGGGAACAGCACGUACCCUGCAGUGUUCCCGGUUCCCCUGGACCAUGGGCACACCCCUCCUUCCGAGCCUUUGUGCCUUUGUAAUGCUCCAGAGAAGCUCAGGAAAACAGUGGGCAACGUUCUUGGAAGGGCGCCCUUCUAUGUGUCCUGAGGGCUUCGGAAGGGAGCACUGUAAGGAGGAGGCAGCUGGACACAGGAGGCUCUCGAGGAGGCUGAGGAGGCUUCCAUCCACCACCCACGAGUGAGAAGGGGGGCAUAUGUUUGGAGCAAGCAGUAACAUGCAUCCCAGGUGGAAAGAGAGGCUCUGUAAGGCCAUGCACCGUGGUUCAGCCCUUAGUGACUCCAGCACCCUGCCUGUAUCUUCCCUGUGCCGCCUACAUCCUGGCCACAAUCCCUGGUGACAGAAGAGGAAGGAAAUGAAGCCAGCACAAACAGCUGAGUGCUUAUCACAGCAAUGGGAAAAUAAGAGACUGUGUAUGGAUAUUCAAUGCUUCCAAAUACCCUACCGAGCACUCGCACAGAGAGCGUGGCGGGAAGACGGAGGGGGAGAGGGAGAGGGAGAAAGAAAUAAAAAUUAGGACCCUUGAGAGAGUUGCGGACAAGCUUACCCAGGUGCACACCACCAUUCAACUGGCCGGCUCCACCCACCAUGGAACCCGGAGAGCCUGGCGGCUUGGACUCUAGCUGUCCGGCUUUGAAGGCUUGCUCUCAGCUUCCACGCUCUGUUGCCGCCUACAUUCCUUUCUGAACUCUCCUGUAUAAGUAUUAUUGUCAGAUUCAAAAGAAAAGGGAACGGAUGUAGAGAGGCUCCGUCUGGCCAUUUCCGCAUAUUUAUAAGUAGAACUUCACCCUGCUUUCCAGUGGGGAACACUUUCAGUGCCACACAGCUAGGUCCCAUCGUCUCUCAUCCCUGUCACUCAUUCUCCCCUGGGAAGAAGUCAUUCCUGUAAGGCCAAAGGUUGCUCAUGCUCAAUGAUGAGUGGUCGCUCUAAGGCAGGGAAAGGACCCUGAGCCAUGAGUCCUCCUCCGCGGUGUAAACACUGCACCAGAAUGGAUUUCAGGCUCCUGACGCAGUGGAGCAGUUUGUAAAAUUCCUGAAAAUGCAGCCCUUUCUUUUCACCAUCUGUUCUGUGCAGGCAGAACACCCACAGAACACAGCUAUAGGGGUCAGCUCCCCACUGUUCCCAAACCCAGAUUCCUGUCCUUAUGAUAAGGGAACAUUAUAUUGGUUACCCUUUUUUAUUCAUGGCUGUGACCAAAUGCCUGACAAGAAGCAACUUAAGAAUUAUUAAUUUUCGAGGCUGGAGAGAUGGCUCAGUGGUUAAGAGCAUUGACUGCUCUUCCAGAGGUCCUGAGUUCAAAUCCCAGCAACCACAUGGUGGCUCAUAACCAUCUGUAAUGAGAUCUGAUGCCCUCUUCUGGUGUGUCUGAAGACAGCUACAGUGUACUUCUAUAUAAUAAAUAUAAUAAAUAAAUCUUUUUUAAAAAGAA